CCGCGCGCACGAGGCUCCGCCACACCACGCAGAGGAAAUGUGGGGCGCAAACAAAAACAAGGCAGCCCCGGCGCGGGGCUGGGGCCGCCCGGGCAGCCUGCCGCUCCCUCCGCGGCCCCGUCCUCCUCCUCCUCCUCCUCCUUCUCUCUUUCUCCUUCUCCUCCUCCACCUCCUCUUCCUCCGCGGGGAUGCGUGGGGGGCUCGCUCGGCUCGGGCGUCGCUGCAGCGGCAGGAAGCCGCGGGUCCCGCGCCGGGCACCUCUGGCCGCUGUCACCGGGCCGCUUCCGUCGCUGCCGCCGCCCUGGGAGGGCUGGGCCCGGGAGUCUCCAGCGCUUGGGGCCCGGAGCUCUCUCUUCUGUGAGCCGGGGACCCCCCCGCCGCCGCCACCAUCAUCACCGCCUCCUCCGCCUCCUCCACCGGCUUGGUGCGUGCGUCUGGCCGGCCUCUCGCUGGCUCUCUCGGUCUGGAAACACGUGGGCUUUGACACACCGCGGUGUGUGUGUGUGUGUGUGUGUCUCGCUGCCGCCCGAGAGCAGAGCGGAGAGCCAGCGAGGGAGGAGUGGGAGGAGGGAAGGGGAAAGAAAGCGAAGUCAUCUCAGUGCUCCUCCUAAUGCCCGAGCCGGGCCACCGCAGCUUUGCGCUGGUGUGCCCGAGGCUCCCCGGCUGCUCGCGGCGGGGAGGGGACCGUGCCCCGACCGCGCUCCUGGCGCCGCGCUGCUCGGGCCACCGAGAAGUUUCCGAGGGCCUCUGUGCUUGGCCAGGAUGGAUGCUCACCCUGGGAGGAGAGAGGCAGACAGAGAGAAAGAGCGAGAGAGGAGGGAAGGGAGGGAGGGAGAGAGAGAGACAGACAGACAGGGAGAGAAGAGAAAGGAAAGAGAGGAGAGGGGGAAAGAGAGAGAGGAGAAAGAGAGAAGAAAGAUAAGAGAAGGGGGAAGAGAGAGAGACAGAGAGAAGAAAGGAAAGAGAGGGGGAGAGAGAAGAAAGGAAAGAGGGGGAAAAGAGGAGAGAGAGGAAAAAGAAAAGAAAGGGAAGAGAAAAAAGGGAAAGAGAAAGGAAAGAGGAGAGAGGGGGGAAGAAAAAAAGAAAGGAGAAAGGAAAGAGAGAGGAGGGGAAAGAGGAAGAGGAGAGAGAGAGAGAGCACCCACAAAAGCCAAAGAGAAAAAAGCAGAGACCCUGGAGAGACAAUUUUCAGUCUUGUAUUUGGCCUGGGCCUGA
RNAcentral lists this long non-coding RNA (1215 nucleotides) under Phascolarctos cinereus (koala). Its description in RNAcentral is "lncRNA (ENSPCIG00000032758.1)". Lineage: Eukaryota; Metazoa; Chordata; Mammalia; Diprotodontia; Phascolarctidae. The record is from RNAcentral.